AUGAACGCUGGCGGCGUGCCUCAUCCAUGCAAGUCGCGCGAACGGACGAGAAGCUUGCUUCUCUGAUGUUAGCGGCGGACGGGUGAGUAACACGUGGAUAACCUACCUAUAAGACUGGGAUAACUUCGGGAAACCGGAGCUAAUACCGGAUGAUAUUUUGAACCGCAUGGUUCAAAAGUGAAAGACGGUCUUGCUGUCACUUAUAGAUGGAACCGCGCUGCAUUAGCUAGUUGGUAAGGUAACGGCUUACCAAGGCAACGAUGCAUAGCCGACCUGAGAGGGUGAUCGGCCACACUGGAACUGAGACACGGUCCAGACUCCUACGGGAGGCAGCAGUAGGGAAUCUUCCGCAAUGGGCGAAAGCCUGACGGAGCAACGCCGCGUGAGUGAUGAAGGUCUUCGGAUCGUAAAACUCUGUUAUUAGGGAAGAACAUAUGUGUAAGUAACUGUGCACAUCUUGACGGUACCUAAUCAGAAAGCCACGGCUAACUACGUG
RNAcentral lists this ribosomal RNA (496 nucleotides) under uncultured bacterium. RNAcentral's name for it is "partial 16S ribosomal RNA". It matches the Rfam family "Bacterial small subunit ribosomal RNA", at positions 29 to 507 of the family's 1533-position model. The record is from RNAcentral.